CGACCUGCGGUGAAUCAUGA
This 20-nucleotide unclassified non-coding RNA is filed under the name Chlamydomonas reinhardtii. RNAcentral describes it as "small RNA Cre_1198". The record is from RNAcentral. Lineage: Eukaryota; Viridiplantae; Chlorophyta; Chlorophyceae; Chlamydomonadales; Chlamydomonadaceae.